GGACAAGAUCGAUUGCAUGCGCUCAUUAUAUUCCAAUCCAGGCAUGCAUUGAAUCAUGCACUUUGUAUGGUAGGAUUGAAUCCUAGGAUUCGAUCCUUGAUUGAUGAGUAUUAUAAAAAUAAAUCGAGUUAACCUUGAUAAUUUAUCGAACAUUAGCGAACAAUCAUCUUUGACAGGACACCACGAAUGCUCUUGACCCGUUGGACCAACUGUUAAUGUGCAAAUGCUUAACGAAGAGGAUUCGUGAAUUCAUAACAAUUCAACCGAAGCUUUAGAUUCGGAUUUGUAGUGGAGCGGAAUCCUCUAUAAUGUGAAGAGUAUGCUUGAAGCAAAAAAUAUCAGACCACCAUCAGUACUCGGAAUUUAUAGAAUUAAUAAAUGAAUCAAAUUAUUAUAA
Molecule: long non-coding RNA, 397 nt
Organism: Aedes aegypti (yellow fever mosquito)
Lineage: Eukaryota; Metazoa; Arthropoda; Insecta; Diptera; Culicidae
Exons: 3
Source: RefSeq, a predicted model, not a curated record